RNAcentral lists this ribosomal RNA (253 nucleotides) under uncultured bacterium. RNAcentral's name for it is "partial 16S ribosomal RNA". It matches the Rfam family "Bacterial small subunit ribosomal RNA", at positions 524 to 776 of the family's 1533-position model. The record is from RNAcentral.
UACGAAGGGGGCUAGCGUUGCUCGGAAUCACUGGGCGUAAAGCGCACGUAGGCGGAUCGUUAAGUCAGGGGUGAAAUCCUGGAGCUCAACUCCAGAACUGCCUUUGAUACUGGCGACCUUGAGUUCGGGAGAGGUGAGUGGAACUGCGAGUGUAGAGGUGAGAUUCGUAGAUAUUCGCAAGAACACCAGUGGCGAAGGCGGCUCACUGGCCCGAUACUGACGCUGAGGUGCGAAAGCGUGGGGAGCAAACAGG